RNAcentral lists this unclassified non-coding RNA (265 nucleotides) under Bluetongue virus. Its description in RNAcentral is "RNA from Bluetongue virus (PDB 1H1K, chain N)". Lineage: Riboviria; Orthornavirae; Duplornaviricota; Resentoviricetes; Reovirales; Sedoreoviridae. The record is from RNAcentral.
UUUUUUUUUUUUUUUUUUUUUUUUUUUUUUUUUUUUUUUUUUUUUUUUUUUUUUUUUUUUUUUUUUUUUUUUUUUUUUUUUUUUUUUUUUUUUUUUUUUUUUUUUUUUUUUUUUUUUUUUUUUUUUUUUUUUUUUUUUUUUUUUUUUUUUUUUUUUUUUUUUUUUUUUUUUUUUUUUUUUUUUUUUUUUUUUUUUUUUUUUUUUUUUUUUUUUUUUUUUUUUUUUUUUUUUUUUUUUUUUUUUUUUUUUUUUUUUUUUUUUUUUU